RNAcentral lists this transfer RNA (65 nucleotides) under Aspidiphorus orbiculatus. RNAcentral's name for it is "tRNA-Ile". Lineage: Eukaryota; Metazoa; Arthropoda; Insecta; Coleoptera; Sphindidae. The record is from RNAcentral.
AAUGAAAUGCCUGACCAAAGGACUAUUUUGAUAGAAUAGAACACGUAACACACUUACUUUCAUUA